GCCAGAUGUGAUGGUGCACACCUGUAGUCUCAGCUACUUGGGUGGCUGAGACAGGAAGAUCGUUUGCAUCCAAGAGUUCUGGGCUAUAGUGCACUAUAACAAUCAGGGAAUUUGCAUGAAAUUCAGCAUCAGUAUGGCGACCUCUGGGGAGUGGAGUGCAGGGCUACCACGUUGCCUAAGGAGAGGUAAACUGGCACAGGUUGGAAACAGAGCAGGUCAAAUGCUGAUCACUAGUGGGAUCGUGCAUGUGACUAGCCACUACACUACAGCCUGGGCAACAUAGUGAGACCCCCAUCUCUU
Molecule: non-coding RNA, 300 nt
Organism: Otolemur garnettii (small-eared galago)
Lineage: Eukaryota; Metazoa; Chordata; Mammalia; Primates; Galagidae
Source: Rfam